This 425-nucleotide ribosomal RNA is filed under the name uncultured bacterium. Its description in RNAcentral is "partial 16S ribosomal RNA". It matches the Rfam family "Bacterial small subunit ribosomal RNA", at positions 354 to 796 of the family's 1533-position model. The record is from RNAcentral.
GUGGGGAAUAUUGCACAAUGGGCGAAAGCCUGAUGCAGCGACGCCGCGUGAGCGAAGAAGUAUUUCGGUAUGUAAAGCUCUAUCAGCAGGGAAGAUAAUGACGGUACCUGACUAAGAAGCACCGGCUAAAUACGUGCCAGCAGCCGCGGUAAUACGUAUGGUGCAAGCGUUAUCCGGAUUUACUGGGUGUAAAGGGAGCGCAGUCGGUGCGGCAAGUCUGAUGUGAAAGCCCGGGGCUCAACCCCGGUACUGCAUUGGAAACUGUCGUACUAGAGUGUCGGAGGGGUAAGCGGAAUUCCUAGUGUAGCGGUGAAAUGCGUAGAUAUUAGGAGGAACACCAGUGGCGAAGGCGGCUUACUGGACGAUAACUGACGCUGAGGCUCGAAAGCGUGGGGAGCAAACAGGAUUAGAAACCCCUGUAGUCC